ACACUCCUUCCGUGGCCUCCAACUGCUCUUAAACGCUAGUAAAACCAAAUGCAUGCUUUUCAACCGGUCGCUGCCUGCACCCGCAUGCCCGACUAGCAUCACCACCCUGGAUGGUUCCGACCUAGAAUAUGUGGCCGUCUAUAAGUACCUAGGUGUCUGGCUAGACUGCAAACUCUCCUUCCAGACUCAUAUCAAACAUCUCCAAUCGAAAAUCAAAUCAAGAGUCGGCUUUCUAUUCCGCAACAAAGCCUCCUUCACUCACGCCGCCAAGCUUACCCUAGUAAAACUGACUAUCCUACCGAUCCUCGACUUCGGCGAUGUCAUCUACAAAAUGGCUUCCAACACUCUACUCAGCAAACUGGAUGCAGUCUAUCACAGUGCCAUCCGUUUCGUCACUAAAGCACCUUAUACCACCCACCACGGCGACUUGUAUGCUCUAGUCGGCUGGCCCUCGCUACAUAUUCGUCGCCAGACCCACUGGCUCCAGGUCAUCUACAAGUCCAUGCUAGGUAAAGCUCCGCCUUAUCUCAGCUCACUGGUCACGAUGGCAACACCCAUCCGUAGCACGCGCUCCAGCAGGUGUAUCUCACUGAUCAUCCCUAAAGCCAACACCUCAUUUGGCCGCCUUUCGUUCCAGUACUCUGCUGCCUGUGACUGGAACGAAUUGCAAAAAUCGCUGAAGUUGGAGACUUUUAUCUCCCUCACCAACUUCAAACAUCAGCUAUCUGAGCGGCUAACCGAUCGCUGCAGCUGUACAUAGUCUAUUGGUAAAUAGCCCACCCUUUCUCACCUACCUCAUCCCCAUACUGUUUUUAUUUAUUUACUUUUCUGCUCUUUUGCACACCAAUAUCUCUACCUGUACAUGACCAUCUGAUCAUUCAUCACUCCAGUGUUAAUCUGCAAAAUUGUAAUUAUUUGCCUACCUCCUCAUGCCUUUUGCACACAUUGUAUAUAGACUCCCCCUUUGGUUUCUACUGUGUUAUUGACUUGUUAAUUGUUUACUCCAUGUGUAACUCUUUGUUGUCUGCUCACACUGCAAUGCUU
RNAcentral lists this long non-coding RNA (1044 nucleotides) under Oncorhynchus kisutch (coho salmon). RNAcentral describes it as "lncRNA (ENSOKIG00005031893.1)". The record is from RNAcentral. Lineage: Eukaryota; Metazoa; Chordata; Actinopteri; Salmoniformes; Salmonidae.